This 679-nucleotide long non-coding RNA is filed under the name Phoenix dactylifera (date palm). RNAcentral's name for it is "long non-coding RNA (PDAC_LNC016468)". Lineage: Eukaryota; Viridiplantae; Streptophyta; Magnoliopsida; Arecales; Arecaceae. The record is from RNAcentral.
CAACCUUCAGUGACAAAUUUAGUCGUCACAGACAUGGUCACAAAUUUUGUCACUAAAUUUGUUAUUAAUUCCGUCACUGAUCUAGUGACAAGGUUAUCGUCACUAAUUUGUCACAACUCACUGAGCAUAAUCAAUUUUUAGUAAUCAAAAUUCUGUCACUAAAUUUAUGGCUGCUCGUCACAAUACUUGGUAAACAAUUCAGUAAGCAAAUUUAAUCACUGAUCACAUUCCAAUAAUCUAGUACAUUUGGUACAUUGAUUGGCUCAUAAUAAUAAUAAUAAUAUCAUUAAUAGCAAAGGCAUUCAACAUUACACAAGUUUUUUAACAUGUCAUUCAAAAUAGGCAUCAACAUGUCCUAAAUCCAUCAAAAUUAAAAUACAAAAAGUAUGUCAUAACAGAGAUUUCAUUCCUCCUAGGAAUGCAAAGACCUAUCAUCUAAGGCAAAAGAAAUUAUAAUGAAGCAUGAUCAGCAGAACCAGAAUCACCAUUACCCCCCGUUCUGCCGCCAUGGUCCAAAGCCAAUCUCUUCUCUCAUCUUUUGAAGAACCUUCUCUUGCCAUUUUUUCUUUUAGUGCUCAAAAAUACCUAGAAGGUCUUCACGCGAGUACAGCUCUGGAGCUUGACUUGUAGAGGUAGAAGAGGAUGAUGAUUGCCCAAUAAUUCCAGUGAGAUCCUCCAG